Molecule: ribosomal RNA, 516 nt
Filed under: uncultured bacterium
Lineage: Bacteria
Description: partial 16S ribosomal RNA
Rfam family: Bacterial small subunit ribosomal RNA
Source: RNAcentral
GACGAACGCUGGCGGCGUGCCUAACACAUGCAAGUCGAACGGAGUGUUUAUUUAUAAACACUUAGUGGCGAACGGGUGAGUAACGCGUAGACAACCUACCCUCUAGAUGGGGACAACUCCGCGAAAGUGGUGCUAAUACCGAAUGUUGUAAUGUUGUUGCAUAAUGAUAUUACUAAAGGUGGCCUCUAUAUAAAAGCUACCGCUAGAAGAUGGGUCUGCGUCUGAUUAGCUAGUUGGUGAGAUAACAGCCCACCAAGGCAAUGAUUAGUAGCCGGUCUGAGAGGAUGAACGGCCACACUGGGACUGAGACACGGCCCAGACUCCUACGGGAGGCAGCAGUGGGGAAUCUUCCGCAAUGGACGAAAGUCUGACGGAGCAACGCCGCGUGAGUGAAGAAGGUUUUCGGAUCGUAAAGCUCUGUCUUCAAGGACGAAUGUAGAUAUUGUGAAUAAUGAUAUUUAAUGACGGUACUUGAGGAGGAAGCCACGGCUAACUACGUGCCAGCCGCCGCAGUAA